AUUAUCUAGAUAAUGAAUAAAAUUUUUUAUAAAAAAUUCAACCGAUUUCGAUUCUUUUAUACCGUUAAAUUAGCAAUAUCUCAUACCUGCCGUUAAAAAUUAUAAAUUUUGAGAUCUUUUAAUUGGAAGAUAAAUGAUAUCAAAAAAUUAUAAAAUUCAAUUUCUAAAACUUUUAAAUGCUUAAGAUAAUAUUUAACAGUAUGGAUCAUUGAUUCGGAAGUUCUAUUAUGGA
This 232-nucleotide long non-coding RNA is filed under the name Ananas comosus (pineapple). RNAcentral's name for it is "long non-coding RNA (ACOM_LNC041101)". The record is from RNAcentral. Lineage: Eukaryota; Viridiplantae; Streptophyta; Magnoliopsida; Poales; Bromeliaceae.